AGACAGUUCGGUCCCUAUCCGUCGUGGGCGUAGGAAAUUUGAGAGGAGCUGUCCUUAGUACGAGAGGACCGGGAUGGACAUACCGCUGGUGUACCAGUUGUUCUGCCAAGGGCAUCGCUGGGUAGCUAUGUAUGGAUGAGAUAAACGCUGAAAGCAUCUAAGUGCGAAACUCACCUCGAGAUAAGAUUUCCCAUUCCUUUAUGGAAGUAAGACCCCUGAGAGAUGAUCAGGUAGAUAGGAUGGAAGUGGAAGUACGGUGACGUAUGGAGCGGACCAUUACUAAUCGGUCGAGGACUUAA
This 299-nucleotide ribosomal RNA is filed under the name Chaetoceros curvisetus. Its description in RNAcentral is "partial Bacterial large subunit ribosomal RNA". It matches the Rfam family "Bacterial large subunit ribosomal RNA", at positions 2624 to 2925 of the family's 2925-position model. The record is from RNAcentral. Lineage: Eukaryota; Bacillariophyta; Thalassiosirophyceae; Chaetocerotales; Chaetocerotaceae.